CCUGCUGCUUCACACUGGCCCCUUGGGACCAUGUGGCCCAGCAGUGCCACAGUGAUGUCCUUGCUGCCACAAGGCCACACAGUGUCACAGUGGUCCCUUGGAUCCAUGCUACCCCAAAGUGUCACAACGGCCCCUUGGUUCCAUGAAGAUCCAGAAGUGUCACAAUGGUCUCCAUGGUUCCACGUGGUCCUCACAGUGUCACAGUGGUCUCCAUAGGCAGGAAACAACCAAGCCCCAGUGUUGCAGGGGCCGAUGAGGGGCAGUCACCAGAGGCAAAGGGCAGCCAGAUUAGAUGGUACUGGCAGAUUUUGUCUGGGAGCAAUCUUGGAUAUACAGAAUUUUAGAGGCAGAAUAACAAUUUUGGACAUGGAUGACAGAAGCAGAAACACAGAUCUUUUCCAUAGGCAGGAAAGCAAGAGUUCCAAGGGCAGUUGAAAGGCAACUAUCAGAGGGCAAGGUCAGCCAGACCUCUCCUUUCUGGUAGCUUUUGUCUGAAAGCAAGCCUUGGAUAUAGGGAAUUUCAGAGAGAGAAUCCUAAUUUCUGCCAUUUCUGCACUGAUAAGCAGAAUGGUUUUUUCCAUAGGAAGGAAAGCACAAGUGUUUCAAAGGCAGAUGAGAGGUGGCUCCCAGGAGCUCAAGCAAGACAGACUUGUUUAUCCUGGCAGCUGCUUUUACAGAGGGAUCCUUGGAUAUAUUUUCAGAGGAGGAAUCUCACUUUUGACCACAGACAUGUUGACAAGCAUGACGGUUCCUUUCCAUUGGAAGGAAAGCACUGUGCCCUUGUGUUUCAAAAACAGGUGAGAGGUGGCCCCCAAGAGGCCAAGGGCAGCCAGACCUGUCUGUCCUGGCAGCUUUCACUUGGGAGCAAUCCUUGGAUGAAUAGAGUUUUGGAGAUGGACUCCAAGUUUCAGCCAUGGGCUCCUGGUGGAGAUGGAUGGUUUUUCCAUAAGAAAUAAAAGUGCGAAAUCCAAGUGUUUUGGAAGAAGAAGAGAGGUGGCCAGCAUAGGCCAAGCCAGACAGACCUGUCUUUCCUGGCACCUUUCACCAGGAGGAAAUCCUUGGAUAUAGGGAAUUUUGGAGGUGGAAUAUCAGUUUUGGCCACAGGCACCUGGACAGGAAGAAGAGUUCUUUUCAUUAGGCAGGAAAGCACAGAGUCACAGUGUUUCAAAGGCAAAUGAGCGCCAGCCCUCAGGAAGCCAAGGCCAGCCAGACUUGUCUCUCCUGGCAGUUUUUUCUGCGAGAAAUCCUUGGGUAUAGAGAAUUCUGGAUGUGGAUUCCCAACUUUGGCUAUGAAUGCCUGGAUGUGAAAGUGCUUUUUUCCUGUAGGAAAGAAAAUCACAUGGUCCCAGUGUUUCAAAGGCAGAUGAGAGGUGGCCCCCGGGUGGCCAAGCCAGCCAGAUCUGUCUGUCCUGGCAGAUUUCAUCUGGGAACAAUUCUUGGAUAGACAAACAUUUGGAGAAGGAAACCCAGUUUUGGCCAUGGACAACUGGAGGAGAAGGACAGCUCUUUCCCACAGGAAGGAAAGCACAGAGCCCCACAGCUCCAGGGGCAGAUGAGAAGCAGCCCUCGGCAUGCCAAGGUCAUCUGGGCCUGUCAGGUGGUCCCCAGGAGGCCAAACCAGCCAGACCUGUGCCAUGUCCCCUUGGUUCCAUGGGGCCCCACAUGUCACAAUGGUCUCCUUGAGUCCAUGAGGCACCUCAGUGUCACCAUGGCCCCUUGGUUCCAGGAGAUUCUGUGCUGUCAGCAAUGUCUCCUUGCUUCUCCAGUGUCAAAAUGGCUGCAUGAAGGGCUUAGGGUUCAAAAAACAGAGCAGGAUCUCAGCCCAUGGUCUGGACCCUCCUUCUCCUGGGGUUUGUGUCUCACCCACACUGGAACCCAAGCAGUUGGUAGCUGAAUAGAAGAGGUGAUAGAAGCAUUCCUCAAGUGAUCUUGAUGCUGAAUGUCUCCUUAGGAGGUCUAGGCAUGGAGAAGAAUGAGCCUGUUUUGGACUGACCCUGUUUGGACAACCUGCUCCUCACCCCCAACCUCACCAUGUCUGACAUCGCCCACCUGGGACUGAUAUCCCUGUGCCCUGCAGCAGAACCUUGUCCCCAAGCUCUGCAGCUCCAUGUCCCAGCCCACUGCACCGUGUCCCACCUGCUCUCCUCAGGGCUCUGCCUGCAUGGAGGCCCAGGAGAAGUUUUCCUGUUUGUAAGGAAGGAGUAGAAAAGCCUGAGCAGGUUUCCUGAACAACAAGCCCCACUCAGGAACCACCUGCUCAGUACAGGCUGCCUGGAAUGGUGUCACCUUUCUACAAGGGACAGUGUGACCAGAAAUGAUCUCUGGAAGCAGAAUUCUCAGAGUCUUGCAGCUGAAUUCUCUGUCCCUGUCCUUUCUCUGGAUCUCUGUUGCAGAUGGAAGCUGCUGGUGCCAUCCUCACCUUUAACGUCUCUUUGGAAUGCAAACAGAUGCUGCCAGGUGUGUUAAGCAGGAUUUGCUCAAUGUUUCUACAAAACUUUUGUGUUCCUCAUGGAACAAAGGGACCAUUUUGGCAAUGAGGGGGGGACGUGGAAACAAGGAGUCAAUUGUGACCCUGGGGUCCCAUGGAACCAAGGGGCCAUGGUGACACAGCAGGGCCACAUGGAUCCAGUGGUCCAUUGUGACACUGUGGAUCCAAGGAGACCAUGGAGACACCCCUGGAACCUCAUGGAACCAAGGAGUCCAUGGUGACCCAGCGGGGCUGCAUGGAGCCAAUGGUCCAUGGUGACACUGCCCAUCCAAGAUCCAAGGAGGCCGCUGUGACACUGUGGGAACUCAUGGAGCGAGGUGGGCCAUUGUGACACUGAAGAACUUCAUGGCACCAAAUAUCCAUGGUGACUCAGCAGGGCAUCAUCGGAACCAAGGAAGCGCUGCUGGCAGUACAGAAACUCACAGAACCAGGGGCCCUUGUAGUACUGCAGAACCAACAGAGCUGCUGGACCUUGUUCCCUGGCCCUGCACAGCUCCUUGGGAGGCACGGCAGGAGCAGCACCCUGGGAGCCUCGGGAAUGCCCCUCUGGGAUCCAUGGCACUCCCAGGGGCUGGAAUUCCAGUUCCCAGCCAGGAAAAGAUGUUCCUGCCCUUGAAGGCAAAGCUCUUAAGGAGGAGCCAAAAGUCAAGUGGAGCAAGAUCUUACAGUGACAUUUCACUGCCAGCCUUCAUAACUUCACCCAUGGUUGCUGUAGCUCCUAGAUUGGGAAUUAAUCAGGCAGGGUCUUUGGUGGGAGCUGCCCUGGGUCAAGGGAGACACAGAGAGAGAAACAGAGCAGGCAGAGAGAGGCAGGAGAGACAGGAGGACACAAACACAAUCAGCUGAGAAGGUGGCACUCUGAAAACAGAGCUACAACUGACUGAAAAGGAAUGGGACAGAAAGAAAUAAUUUUGCUUUCCUUUUCCACAAGGAAAGAGGAAAUGGGGAUUUUCCCACUCCUGGGGAGUUUGACAUCCUCAGCUGAGGAGAGGAGGAGGCACCAGAAGAAAAGGGCAGCUGGGCUUCACCCUUCUGCAGGGAAGAGGGGGGAAAAGAAUCUCUCAUCCUGUCUGCAGCUGCUCCCACAGGGAUGUGAGGGCUGAUCCCAGAGCCCCAAGGGUCACAUUCAGGGCUGCACUCAGGGAAUGCUCGCCUGGUAUUGAGGGGCAGCUUGGGAGCACCUGGAUCUUGGAGCAUCCAGCUGCCCCCCAUGUUUGGAGGUGCCUGAGGAGGGCUGGGAGGAUGCCAGGGACAUCCUGCAGUGACAUCCCCCCUGUCCUGCUCUGGGUGAGCUCAGUCCCAGGCCUGACCCUGAUCCUGGUCUCAAUUUCACUCCACGUUUAGACACACUCACAGUUCUGUAUUUAAUCCCAUCCCAGUGUCAGACUCAUCAAGCCCCAGACCCAUUCCCAAUCCCAGCCCUAAAGCCAAUCCCAUGUCUAGCCUUAACCCCAAUCCCAGCUCUAAUCCAAAUCUCAGCUCUAACUCCAACCCCACCCCCAAAUCCAGCCCUAUCCUAAAUCCUCAGCCCCAAACCAAAUCCCAGGUCCAGCCCUUCUGGGGGUUUGGGGGUUUCUCUGUCCCUCUGACCCCGAUGAUGUUUGGGUGGUGUGACACCAGGGCUCAGAGGGACAGAGACCCCCCAGGGAUGAGAAGGUGGGAGAGCCCCCCCAGCCAGAAGCACUCUCAGCGGUGAGAGGGACACAGAGGCCCUGGUCCCCAGCCCUGCACAAGCAUUCCCUGAGGCCAGAGGGAUGGAGACCCCUGAGCAUCCCCCAGGGCGAGGGGACAGAGACCCCUGAGCAUCCCCUGGGCUGAGAGAGACAGAGACUGCCCUGAGCACCCCAUGGGGCAGAGUGAGAGGGAGGGAAAGCCCCCAGACAUUCCCUGGAGUGAGAAUGAUGGAGACCCCCUGGGGAAUGGCCUGGGGUGACAGGGACAACCCCUCAAGCAUCUCCCAGGGUGAGAGGCACGAACAGAGACCCCUUGAGCAUCCCCUGGGCACUGGACAAAAUAAAAUUGGCAGAAAUUAAAUUUAACUCUGCAUUAAUCAUUUUGAUGAAUAUUUGAUUUUCCCAAAAGUAACAUGUGAUGAAAAUGCAAAUAAAUCCCAAACCUGAAUAAACCGAUAAUAGAAACAAUGAUGUGUCAAUUCCAGGUUUCAUUGGUUCGUGCACAGCUCCAGCUCAGCUGCUGGCAGGUUCCCAUAAAAGAAAAGUGGAAAUUUGGCCCAAUACAGAUUAAAAGGAAGAGAAAGCAGUGUGGGGCUGUCACAAGGGGGACAGGGAAAAAAAGAAUAAUGAUUCUCAUAUGUGGCAAAGCUCCUAAGCCUGUGAAUUUGGCAUUUAUGUAGGAAUUUAGCUACUUGAGCUGGACUUCUUGUGCGACUUUUAGCAGCCUUGUGUUCCUGACCUUGGGGUGAGUGAACCUUGUCAGUCUCACUGGUAUCAUUUGCUCCCUUUCCUCCAGUGUUUUUAACAAAGUUUUCAAGGAAGGAGAACAAAACAUUUUCUUUCCACUGGCCACCUAGCCACCUACAGCCUUUUUCCUCAUCAGUUCUUACAUAAGUUGCUCAGAUGAAGCUGCAUCCAAGUUUCCAGUGGUUCCUCCAGAGAGGACCACAACCUCCUCAGAGAAGGGAACCAUGCUGUUAUCAAAGGCACUUGGAGUCAGAGAACAGUGCCUAAACUCCCUGUGCCAAAAAAAUGUUGCAAUCUGGUUAAUAAAAUUGUUAGAGAAAUGCCUCUGCCCCAAUUAAGCUGCUACCAAGACCAAAUCCAAAGUGGAUUGUAUUGAACAGCAAGUGUGAGGUAGAGAGAGACAUGGAAAGAAAGAGAAAAGGGGGGACAACAAGGAGUGACAAGGACAGAGACCUCCCCUGGGGCGGGGCAAGUGUGACGGGGCAGUGUUCUUUAUCUCUUCCAUGACUCAGCCCUGAUAACGCCCUCCAGGGGCUCUCUUCUGUGAAUGGGCCAUUGAGUGUCCCUGCAGGACUGAUAAAAUGACAUCAUCCCAUUGUGGGAUGCUCCGCCCAGGGGGAGGAGCCAAGCAUUCCUACCUGGAUAUAAGCUGAGGCUUCUGACACCAGGAGCACCUUGGCUACUGGAUUCCCAGAGGACAAGAGCUCCAUAAGCACCACUGGACCUUCAGAGGAAGACCAGACCCUAC
Molecule: long non-coding RNA, 5656 nt
Organism: Passer domesticus (house sparrow)
Lineage: Eukaryota; Metazoa; Chordata; Aves; Passeriformes; Passeridae
Exons: 3
Source: RefSeq, a predicted model, not a curated record